Molecule: long non-coding RNA, 539 nt
Organism: Esox lucius (northern pike)
Lineage: Eukaryota; Metazoa; Chordata; Actinopteri; Esociformes; Esocidae
Source: Ensembl
UCCAGGUGGCAGCACUCAAGAGUCAAGAGCUGGGUUCUACCAGGAAAAUUAAGACCGCAGGCCUUGGGCUAAGGUACCUCCUUUUAAGAGGAACACAGAGGCUCUUUAACUGGCAUACCCCAGGAGUCAACUGUGAGGCAGUCUUUAAAGAUGUGAACACGCAAUGAAUAUGGAGGCCAGUGUGUCCUCAGUCGAAAAAGGCUGUGCUCGCUACCCGUCCGUGAGUCCUGCACUGCUACUCUUUAGAUGAACCUGCCUUGCCCAAUUACCCCCUGCUGACCUCAGAUGCCAGCUAAAUCGAAUGUGUGAAGACUCCCGAUGGACGCGUGGCGGUCAGGUCACACACAUGUACCGAGGCUCAUGGGAGCUCUAACACUGUAAAGGUUUCUGUUUUCCUAAGAGCAGUUACCAAGGUUACCUUUCUAAAACACUUUCCGUUUAAUGGCGGUUGUAUUUCACUGCCCUUGUGGACCACUGCUCAACUUUAGGAGUGUCCUGGGGAGCCUAAUAAACUGCUAUAUGACACAGUACAAUACCGC